UCGAUCUAAAAAUAAAAUUUAAGUGUGGCAGGGUAUAUGACUCAUUAGCAAACUAACCCAAAAACAAGAAAAUUGGGGUGAUCCCUGCAUUAAAAUUACAGCAUUAGACUUUGGAUAUUUAUAUCAGGUCUUUAAUAACAUAUGGCACCAUAACAUCUGAGUGAAAGGUUUGUGAUCAAAUAGAAAGAGAUUCCAGGAAGAACUAAUAUCCCAGAGAAAUACAGGUCUGCUACCAGACACUUGCAGCAACUCAGUAUUGCCCUCUUGUGCUUCAAAACCAUUCAUGCAAAGGAACCGGACACCGAGGAACUGAUCUUACCUGCCACAAUAACUCAGCAGAGGUUUAAACAUUCACACUGAAGCCAUAUCAGUAAAGUCUAUCAGGAUCUGGAGCAUUCCCAAGCAGUGUAAUGUGAACACUCAUCACAGCAAACCACGAGCAUGUUCCCUUGGCAUGAUUUUGAACUGUGCCACCCAACAUUUAGCCCAGCAGAUGCUGGCUUGGACUUCUCCCCAGCAGGAUGCUUGGUGUAGCCACUCUGCAUAAAGCAUUUACCAGGCUGGGCAUGAGCUGCUCUGUGCCUGCUGGCUUCAACACUCAAGGAUGUUUCUGGGCAUAUUUAAUUGGCUAGCUUGGAUAUAUCUCCAGUCAAUGCACCUUAACAAUAGAAUCUGUUGCUUUCAUGUUUCAUAGUUAAAGAGAGUUGUCAGGGGAAGGACCAGAGAGGCAGACAGACUGAGUCAGGGCAAACCAAAACAGCCAUAAGGCAGCCUAUAAAAUGCUACCCAAAACAGCAAACAAAUUAGUCCCAAAAUACUGGGGACUUUUAGCAGCAUUCUCACUGCAUUCCUAUACUUCCACAGGAGAUAAGCAACAUGGUAAAAAACAGCUCUCUGUCAUUGGGGUGCAUCCCUUCCCUGAAAAUGUCAAGUUUUGCUUGCAAAAGGAGCCCUGUUAAUUGAGCUAGCCUGUUCCUGUCUGUAUUGAAACUGGAUGCAAGCCUUGAGGUUGCUAGGCCCCCUGAGACACAGCUGAGAUUGAAAGAAAACUCAAACAGGCACUGAUUUCAUAUCUUCUAACUGAGCCAGGAAAAGCUUAGUAAGGAAUCUUCCUCCUGGACACUGGGUCAUAGCUGGGGCAGUUCCUGAUACAACCAGUUGCUUAAAUGGAAAGCUGCAACUGCUGCUGCAUGCUCUUUUCCAGUGCUCUGGAAGGGGCAAGACAGCCAUCAUGUCUUGCUGAUUUAGAGUGGACACUGGCUUGAAAAAACACAUUUUGCCUUCUAUUUCGUGAGCCUAGCAGUAAGGAUCUUCAGCAAGGAAAUAAAGAUGUUCCAUGCUUCAUUCUAAACCAGAUGGAACCUUUUACCAUUACAGAAUCACUUGUUUUGCUGCUUGCUUGAUUGAAAAUAUGUAACAAAAUACCUGGUAAAACUUUGUCCUGGGAGGUGAUCAGCAACCUCAGCUUCCUCUGACAUGGAACAAACAGCUGCCAUUUCAGAGUGUCUAUAGAUCCAGUAGCAUCUUGAGCAGUUAAAAUUAAUCCUACUUCUAACACUUCUUACUCUUCCUCAUGCUCACUCUACACCUCAUUUCUAAUUCCCGUUUUUCUUUUUCUGUAUUUCCUCCUCUUUUCACAGUAACAUUAUUUGCUUGUUCAGACUCUGAGUUUCACUCCAUUCCUUUCCUUUGAGUACAUCCACACCUCCCACAACAACUGUAUUGUAGCACCUACUAUGUUUUGUAUCUCUGUUCUUUCAGCCAUAAUAUUGGGGUACUUGAAAUACAAAGAAACAAAAACAUCCUCCAGGGUUACCAGGCAGAGCACUGUACAGAACUCCAGGCAUUGUAGUAACCCUUAGCUACUUGUAAUUAUUCCCUGCCUCCACCAGAGCAACAUCCAACACAAAUCCUGCGUCCUUGUUGUCCCACACUGUUUCUGCUCUCACAGACUGCCAGGAAUGGGAAUGCUGCCAUCACCCUCCUGCCUCACUUCACUCACACCCAGCAGAACUGUGAUGUGACUGAGGUAAGUCAGACCCUAAAAGAGUCUGCAAAAUCUGGCACUGCUGGAUGCUCUAUCUGGCAGUCUGUCUGCAUGCCAGCACGAGGAUUUUGCUUGAAGUGCUUGUGGUAAAAAAAGUCAGGACCCAUUUGGUAAUAACAUGGACUUUAAAGGACCUGAUUUAAAGUUUAAAGGAAACUAUUUUGCUCCCAGCCCCUUCUUCUCACUUAGUUCAGCAACUGCAGUUUCUGCUGUGUAGUUACUAGAAUACAAAAACAAUAGUUAAAAUCAAGGUUAUGACCAUACAAGUUUUGUUACACAGACGCAACGAAAAUUUUGGGUUCAUGGUUUUCACCUUACGUAUAACACUUUUAAUAACAAUAUUUGCAAUAUCACAAAAGUCCUUGACUGAAGAACACUAAAUAUUCAUGAAAAAUACCAUCUUCCUAGUGCUUAAUGUCUUACUAAUUUGUACUAGGAGUCAUGGAAUACCUAUGUUGGCUUGUCAAACCAGUAUCAUUUUCCAUUCUUCACGGAUAUCUGAUAUUUCAGGCAUUAACACUGAUACAGCUACAAUUGUGGUUAAGACUUGUGCUGUGCUGCCACCUUCUGAUACAAGAUAAUCAGCCAUUAAUAAACCCAUUUCUGAUACAGCCCUGCAAUAUGAACCUAGGAAUAAUUAGACAGUAAGUUUUUGUUCAUUGUCUGUACCCGUACUACACAAAAAUUAAUGUGAAAUUGUGCAUUUACUACAUUAAAUAUACUUUUGGAUGUC
This is a non-coding RNA of Taeniopygia guttata (zebra finch), 2780 nucleotides long. The record is from RefSeq and is a predicted model, not a curated record. Lineage: Eukaryota; Metazoa; Chordata; Aves; Passeriformes; Estrildidae.